RNAcentral lists this ribosomal RNA (230 nucleotides) under uncultured bacterium. RNAcentral describes it as "partial 16S ribosomal RNA". It matches the Rfam family "Bacterial small subunit ribosomal RNA", at positions 118 to 340 of the family's 1533-position model. The record is from RNAcentral.
UGGGUAACCUGCCUCAAAGAGGGGAAUAGCCUCCCGAAAGGGAGAUUAAUACCGCAUAAUAUGUUUUGAUCGCAUGAUCGAGACAUCAAAGGAAUUUCCUCGGAAAUUCCACUUUGAGAUGGACCCGCGGCGCAUUAGCUAGUUGGAGAGGUAACGGCUCGCCAAGGCGACGAUGCGUAGCCGACCUGAGAGGUGAUCGGCACAUUGAACUGAGACNCGUCCAGACUCCG